This 127-nucleotide small RNA is filed under the name Marmota monax (woodchuck). Lineage: Eukaryota; Metazoa; Chordata; Mammalia; Rodentia; Sciuridae. The record is from RNAcentral.
GCUGGGCACGGUGGUGCAUGCCUGUAAUCCCAAUGGCUUGGGAGGCUGAGACAGGAGGACUGAGAGUUCAAAGACGGCAUCAGCAACUUAGCAAGGCACUAACCAACUCUGUGAGAUCCUGUCUCUA